Molecule: long non-coding RNA, 1020 nt
Organism: Mauremys reevesii (Reeves's turtle)
Lineage: Eukaryota; Metazoa; Chordata; Testudines; Geoemydidae
Exons: 2
Source: RefSeq, a predicted model, not a curated record
GGUAAGAUUAACCCCUAGGCAGACGGCCAUCACAAAGGCCCAUGUUCCACUUAGGUCCCUGCUAAGAUCCAGUUUGAAAGUUUAGUGGGACUAAAAUUGUUCAUAGGGCAUUUUACUGUACCCCUGCCAACAGGUGAAUUUGAAAUAUAAGGUCCUGACAGGAAACAUGCUGGAGAAAAUGGAAUGAUUCCGAUUGUCUUCAAAAGGAAUUGGAUCUGACCCAGUGAGAAUGGAGAUGGUGAGAAUGCCGAAAAAUGGCUCCCUCCUUCCUAGCAGGUUUACAAUGAAGGACCCAAUGCACCUGGCCAUGACCAGUAUGAAUUGAAAGGCCCAAACUGGAUUCCUUCCAUCAGUGCCAGUUGUGCUAUUGAUGCCGCUCAGAAUCACCUUCACAUUCAUUCUCACUGCAGCCACAAAAAAGUCAGUAAAAUGACACAAGGAAUGCAGUUGGCCCAUACAAUAUUAAGAUGAAAGAAAGAUGAAGAGUGCAACGUGCACGUCACACCCUCUGAGGCUGAGAUUGGCCCAAUGAUCAAAGCCCCUGAGGAAAACAGCUCCAUCCAAAGGAGGACAUAGCAAGGCAAUCAAGUUUGUUUGGCAACUAAUUAGGACCUCCAUCACAAACAGCAUCGCAGAUCCUCCAGGCAGUCCUAGGAACUGUAUAAAAGUGCUCAUAACUCAGGGCUCUUCUAAUCAUUUCUCCAGACUUCAUCUCCUCGAAAGUAAAAGAUGCCCCCGAAGAAGCCUUCAGGUGCUCAGUAGAGGAGCAAAAACUUAAGUUACAAUCUAAUUUGCAGAAAGGGGCAAAUUUGAUGGUAAAAUAUCUGAAACAGAACGACCAGGACCGGGCAUUAGCCAUCAUCCCAGUGCAGAAGAAAUUGAGGAGCGAAGCAUAAAUGAGGAAAGUCCUAUUACUAAGGAAUGAGCAGAUGUAGCUGAAGAUAAGGAAUGCAAAUGUGAGGAAAGUGAUGGAGAAUCAUCCCGUUUUCCUGGCAGAAUAAAGGAGAGUGAUGAUAAUUA